This 207-nucleotide ribosomal RNA is filed under the name uncultured bacterium. RNAcentral's name for it is "partial 16S ribosomal RNA". It matches the Rfam family "Bacterial small subunit ribosomal RNA", at positions 568 to 774 of the family's 1533-position model. The record is from RNAcentral.
UGCGUAGGUGGCAGUGCAAGUCAGAUGUGAAAGGCCGGGGCUCAACCCCGGAGCUGCAUUUGAAACUGCUCGGCUAGAGUACAGGAGAGGCAGGCGGAAUUCCUAGUGUAGCGGUGAAAUGCGUAGAGAUCUGGAGGAAUACCGAUGGCGAAGGCAGCCAUCUGGCCUAAUACUGACACUGAGUGCGAAAAGCAUGGGGAGCAAACA